CGGCGUGCUUAACACAUGCAAGUCGAACGAGACGAUUUAGAAGCUUGCUUUUAUGAGUCGAGUGGCAAACGGGUGAGUAACGCGUAGACAACCUGCCGCAAAGAUGGGGACAACAGUCCGAAAGGACUGCUAAUACCGAAUGUUGUAUCUCCUCCGCAUGGAAGAGAUAUUAAAGAUGGCCUCUACUUGUAAGCUAUCGCUUUGCGAUGGGUCUGCGUCUGAUUAGCUAGUUGGUGGGGCAACGGCCUACCAAGGCGACGAUCAGUAGCCGGUCUGAGAGGAUGAACGGCCACAUUGGAACUGAGACACGGUCCAGACUCCUACGGGAGGCAGCAGUGGGGAAUCUUCCGCAAUGGGCGAAAGCCUGACGGAGCAACGCCGCGUGAGUGAAGAAGGUCUUCGGAUCGUAAAGCUCUGUUGUCGGGGACGAAUGUUGAGACCAAGAACAUAGGUUUCAAAUGACGGUACCUGACGAGGAAGCCACGGCUAACUACGUG
RNAcentral lists this ribosomal RNA (497 nucleotides) under uncultured bacterium. RNAcentral's name for it is "bacterial SSU rRNA". It matches the Rfam family "Bacterial small subunit ribosomal RNA", at positions 40 to 507 of the family's 1533-position model. The record is from RNAcentral.